AAUCAACGCUGGCGGCGUGCCUCAGACAUGCAAGUCGAACGCGAAAGUCCCCUUCGGGGGACGAAGUAGAGUGGCGCACGGGUGAGUAACACGUAGGUAAUCUACCUUCGGAUGGGGAAGUAACAACCGGAAACGGUUGCUAAUACCGCAUAAUGCAGCGGCACCUAAUGGUGACAGUUGUUAAAGCGGGGGAUCGAAAGACCUCGCGUCUGAAGAGGAGCCUGCGGCGGAUUAGCUAGNGGUUAAGGUAAUGGCUUACCAAGGCGACGAUCCGUAGCCGGCCUGAGAGGGGCGGUCGGCCACACUGACACUGACAUACGGGUCAGACUCCUACGGGAGGCAGCAGUCGGGAAUUUUGGG
This 360-nucleotide ribosomal RNA is filed under the name uncultured bacterium. RNAcentral's name for it is "bacterial SSU rRNA". It matches the Rfam family "Bacterial small subunit ribosomal RNA", at positions 32 to 368 of the family's 1533-position model. The record is from RNAcentral.